AGAAUCAACGCUGGCGGCGUGCCUAACACAUGCAAGUCGAACGAGAAAGUGGAGCAAUCCAUGAGUAAAGUGGCGCACGGGUGAGUAACACGUGACUAACCUACCCAUAAGUGGGGGAUAACCUCGGGAAACCGUGGCUAAUACCGCAUAACACCGAGAGGUCAAAGGAGCAAUUCGCUUUUGGAGGGGGUCGCGGCUGAUUAGUUAGUUGGCAGGGUAAUGGCCUACCAAGACGAUGAUCAGUAUCCGGCCUGAGAGGGCGCACGGACACACUGGAACUGAAACACGGUCCAGACUCCUACGGGAGGCAGCAGUGGGAAUUUUGCGCAAUGGGGGAAACCCUGACGCAGCAACGCCGCGUGGAGGAUGAAGUCCCUUGGGACGUAAACUCCUUUCGAUCGGGACGAUAAUGACGGUACCGAGAGAAGAAGCCCCGGCUAACUUCGCGCCAGCAGCCGC
RNAcentral lists this ribosomal RNA (459 nucleotides) under uncultured bacterium. RNAcentral describes it as "SSU rRNA". It matches the Rfam family "Bacterial small subunit ribosomal RNA", at positions 26 to 518 of the family's 1533-position model. The record is from RNAcentral.